UACGGAGGGUGCAAGCGUUAUCCGGAUUCACUGGGUUUAAAGGGUGCGUAGGCGGGCAAGUAAGUCAGUGGUGAAAUCUCCAAGCUUAACUUGGAAACUGCCGUUGAUACUAUCUGUCUUGAAUGUUGUGGAGGUGAGCGGAAUAUGUCAUGUAGCGGUGAAAUGCUUAGAUAUGACAUAGAACACCAAUUGCGAAGGCAGCUCACUACACAAAUAUUGACGCUGAGGCACGAAAGCGUGGGGAUCAAACAGG
This 253-nucleotide ribosomal RNA is filed under the name uncultured bacterium. RNAcentral's name for it is "partial 16S ribosomal RNA". It matches the Rfam family "Bacterial small subunit ribosomal RNA", at positions 524 to 776 of the family's 1533-position model. The record is from RNAcentral.